CCUACGGGGGACAGCAGUAGGGAAUCUUCCACAAUGGGCGAAAGCCUGAUGGAGCAACGCCGCGUGGGUGAAGAAGGUCUUCGGAUCGUAAAACUCUGUUGUUAGAGAAGAAAGUGCGUGAGAGUAACUGUUCACGUUUCGACGGUAUCUAACCAGAAAGCCACGGCUAACUACGUGCCAGCAGCCGCGGUAAUACGUAGGUGGCAAGCGUUAUCCGGAUUUAUUGGGCGUAAAGGGAACGCAGGCGGUCUUUUAAGUCUGAUGUGAAAGCCUUCGGCUUAACCGGAGUAGUUCAUUGGAAACUGGGAGACUUGAGGGCAGAAGAGGAGAGGGGAACUCCAUGGGGAGCGGGGAAAUGCGUAGGUAUAUGGAAGAACACCAGUGGCGAAAGCGGCUCUCUGGUCUGUAACUGACGCUGAGGUUCGAAAGCGUGGGUAGCAAACAGGAUUAGAUACCCGGGUAGUC
RNAcentral lists this ribosomal RNA (465 nucleotides) under uncultured bacterium. RNAcentral describes it as "partial 16S ribosomal RNA". It matches the Rfam family "Bacterial small subunit ribosomal RNA", at positions 338 to 795 of the family's 1533-position model. The record is from RNAcentral.